GACGAACGCUGGCGGCGUGCUUAACACAUGCAAGUCGAACGGUAAGGCCCCUUCGGGGGUACACGAGUGGCGAACGGGUGAGUAACACGUGAGCAACCUGCCCUUGACACCGGAAUAACAGUUGGAAACAGCUGCUAAUGCCGGAUACGACCUCCGAUGGCAUCAUCUGGAGGUGGAAAGCGAUUCAGCGGUCAAGGAUGGGCUCGCGGCCUAUCAGCUUGUUGGUGAGGUAAUGGCUCACCAAGGCUUCGACGGGUAGCCGGCCUGAGAGGGCGACCGGCCACACUGGGACUGAGAUACGGCCCAGACUCCUACGGGUGGCUG
Molecule: ribosomal RNA, 324 nt
Filed under: uncultured Actinomycetes bacterium
Lineage: Bacteria; Bacillati; Actinomycetota; Actinomycetes
Description: bacterial SSU rRNA
Rfam family: Bacterial small subunit ribosomal RNA
Source: RNAcentral